UCCGUAGGUGAACCUGCGGAAGGAUCAUUAGUGAUUUGGCCGAGAGGCCUUUAUCCAAUCCUCACACCUGUGAACACGUCGGUGGGCUCUAGGGCCCGCCGUACAUAUACAAACUUAUGUGUAAUGAACGUCUUUUUAAACAUAACAAAAACAAAACUUUCAACAACGGAUCUCUUGGCUCUCGCAUCGAUGAAGAACGCAGCGAAAUGCGAUAAGUAAUGUGAAUUGCAGAAUUCAGUGAAUCAUCGAAUCUUUGAACGCACCUUGCGCCUCUUGGUAUUCCGAGAGGCAUGCCUGUUUGAGUGUCAUGAAACAUCAAUCCCACGGGUUUUCUGAUCUGUGUGGACUUGGACCUGGGCGCUGCCUGCCUGUCAAGGCUCGCCUCAAAUGACUCAGUGGGAACUUCUUGACCUACGCCCGACGUAAUAAGUUUCGUCUUGGCCGGUCCUGAGGCCCGCUCACAACCCCCCACAUCUUUUGACACUGACCUCAAAUCAGGUAGGGCUACCCGCUGAACUUAAGCAUAUCAAUAAGCGGAGGA
This 541-nucleotide ribosomal RNA is filed under the name Kockovaella ogasawarensis. RNAcentral describes it as "eukaryotic LSU rRNA". The stretch from base 155 to 308 matches the Rfam family "5.8S ribosomal RNA". Lineage: Eukaryota; Fungi; Basidiomycota; Tremellomycetes; Tremellales; Cuniculitremaceae. The record is from RNAcentral.